AUUGAACGCUAGCGGCAUGCUUUACACAUGCAAGUCGAACGGAGUCGCGGACGGGUGAGUUAUAUAUCGGAACGUGCCUAGUAGAGGGGGAUAACUACUCGAAACAGUGGCUACUAACGACUUCUUGUGGCGCGGCCGAUGUCGGAUUAGCUAGUUGGGGGGGUAAAUGCUCACCAAGGCAACGAUCCGUACCUGGUUUGAGAGGACGACCAGCCACACUGGAACUGAGACACGGCCCAGACUCCUACGGGAGGCAGCAGUGGGGAAUUUUGGACAAUGGGAGAAACCCUGAUCCAGCCAGCCCGCGUGUGUGAUGAAGGCCUUCGGGUUGUAAAGUACUUUUGGCUGGGAGGCGGUAUCUGCAGAAUAAGCACCGGCUAACUACGUGCCAGCAGCCGCGGUAAUUC
RNAcentral lists this ribosomal RNA (407 nucleotides) under uncultured bacterium. RNAcentral's name for it is "partial 16S ribosomal RNA". It matches the Rfam family "Bacterial small subunit ribosomal RNA", at positions 30 to 526 of the family's 1533-position model. The record is from RNAcentral.